Molecule: ribosomal RNA, 107 nt
Filed under: Labrus bergylta (ballan wrasse)
Lineage: Eukaryota; Metazoa; Chordata; Actinopteri; Labriformes; Labridae
Source: RNAcentral
GCUUACGGCAUACCCUGAACGCCGAUCUCGUCGAUCUCGGAAGCUAAGCAGGGUCGGGCUGGUUAGUACUUGGAUGGGAGACGCUGGGAAUACAGGUGCUGUAAGCU